AUCAUUUGUCGACACGUAGGGGUUGGCACAUAUACUAGCACUAUUCGACUCUAACGGUUACCUGUACGGAGUAUUUCAGUAACAAUAUAACAACAAUAAUUUAUGGAUCGCAAAAAUAUAGUAAAAUUUUAGCAACUAUAGUAACGACAUGGAUUGUGAAGUUUCCCCAAGCAAAUUAUGAAUGCAAGUUUACUUCGUAUCCGAUUGGAUAUCAGGUAGAGUCUACAAAGUGUUCAUGCACACCUCGGUGGCCCUAGCAAAAGCUACCCACACAUGAUUAUCUUCCUUCCCAC
Molecule: long non-coding RNA, 293 nt
Filed under: Setaria viridis
Lineage: Eukaryota; Viridiplantae; Streptophyta; Magnoliopsida; Poales; Poaceae
Description: long non-coding RNA (SVIR_LNC003116)
Source: RNAcentral